ACUGCAAGUCGAGCGAAUCGACGGAGCUUGCUCCCUGAAUUAGCGGCGGACGGGUGAGUAACACGUGGGCAACCUGCCUAUGAGACUGGGAUAGCUUCGGGAAACCGGAGCUAAUACCGGAUACGUUCUUUUCUCGCGUGAGAGAAGAUGGAAAGACGGUUUACGCUGUCACUUAUAGAUGGGCCCGCGGCGCAUUAGCUAGUUGGUGAGGUAAUGGCUCACCAAGGCGACGAUGCGUAGCCGACCUGAGAGGGUGAUCGGCCACACUGGGACUGAGACACGGCCCAGACUCCUACGGGAGGCAGCAGUAGGGAAUCUUCCGCAAUGGACGAAAGUCUGACGGAGCAACGCCGCGUGAACGAAGAAGGCCUUCGGGUCGUAAAGUUCUGUUGUUAGGGAAGAACAAGUACCAGAGUAACUGCUGGUACCUUGACGGUACCUAACCAGAAAGCCACGGCUAACUACGUGCCAGCAGCCGCGGUAAUACGUAGGUGGCAAGCGUUGUCCGGAAUUAUUGGGCGUAAAGCGCGCGCAGGUGGUUCCUUAAGUCUGAUGUGAAAGCCCACGGCUCAACCGUGGAGGGUCAUUGGAAACUGGGGAACUUGAGUGCAGAAGAGGAAAGUGGAAUUCCAAGUGUAGCGGUGAAAUGCGUAGAGAUUUGGAGGAACACCAGUGGCGAAGGCGACUUUCUGGUCUGUAACUGACACUGAGGCGCGAAAACGUGGGGAGCACACAGGAUUAGAUACCCUGGAGUCCACGCCGUAAACCAUGAAUGCUAAGUGUUAGAGG
Molecule: ribosomal RNA, 789 nt
Filed under: Peribacillus simplex
Lineage: Bacteria; Bacillati; Bacillota; Bacilli; Caryophanales; Bacillaceae
Description: bacterial SSU rRNA
Rfam family: Bacterial small subunit ribosomal RNA
Source: RNAcentral